GUGCAGCAGGCGAGAAACUUUACAAUGUGCGAAAGCACGAUAAGGGAACUCUGAGUGCCUCCUAAGGAGGCUGUUCAGGUGUCUAAAAGCACCUGGAGUAAGGGCUGGGUAAGACCGGUGCCAGCCGCCGCGGUAACACCGGCAGCCCAGGUGGUAGCCACUUUUAUUGGGUCUAAAGCGUCCGUAGCCGGUUGAGUAAGUUCCUUGGGAAAUUUGGCUGCUCAACAGUCAAGCUUCCAGGGAAUACUGCUCGACUUGGGGACUGGGAGAGGUCAGAGGUACUCCAGGGGUAGGGGUGAAAUCCAUUAAUCCCUGGGGGACCACCGGUAGCGAAGGCGUCUGACCAGACCAGGUCCGACGGUGAGGGACGGAGGCUAGGGUCGCGAACCGGAUUAGAUACCCCCGUAGU
This 409-nucleotide ribosomal RNA is filed under the name uncultured microorganism. RNAcentral describes it as "bacterial SSU rRNA". It matches the Rfam family "Archaeal small subunit ribosomal RNA", at positions 330 to 745 of the family's 1478-position model. The record is from RNAcentral.